CCUGUUCCUCAGUGAAGCCCAACUUCAGUCCCUACGAAUUACUCAACAAAACUUCCCUCCCAGACCCAGGAUUCUACUGGGUUUGGUUGAUUUUUGCUUCAUCUCAGUGUUUCUACAAAUACCAACAUCUUAGUGUCUCUGGCAUUUCAGCAAAAUGACAUCUUGCUUCAUUAAACCUUUAAAUGACCUUAACUGUGUAGUCGCUUUGGCCAGCUUUUCCUAAGAGAAACACAAAAGAUCUGGCUGCAAAGGAGACUUUCGAAAAGGCUUCUCUCGUCCUCAGUGUGGAGAGCAGCGCGACAAAGAGGUACCACACCUGUUCCUCCCUCCGCCCGCUGCUGAUCCACAAAGCUUUUUCCACAGCAGACAUUCUGACACGUGCGGGCAGAGAGAAAGCCCGGGUUUAAUCGACCCCAUUAGUGACAGCUGUAGUCCACCUAGACGAGCCACGGGCCAGGGUCUGGUGUGGUACACGCCGGCCCGCACACCUGGAGACGUAUCCCGGGAGACUUAAUGCGACAGAGCCCUUGUUAAUCUUAGCAGUUCCACCUGCUGUAACUCAAAAGUAUCCGCUGUGGAGGAAAACAGGACUACGUAAGAAUGCAGUGCCUUUGAGAACCAACUCAGGCAGACGCUGUGUGGAAACCUUAAGCAGCGAUGCAUUCUAAACGUACGAAGAGGGAUGGAGAGCCAGACUGAAGCAGGGACAUCAGUUCUGGAGAUAAAAAUUUCACAGGCCUCUGGUCCCGGACGUGCUCCAGUGUCGCGGCGAUGUCGAUCUCUUUCACACCUGUAGCAGAGCAGAUAGCGACAUUGACAGGAAGUCCUCGGAAAAACGAUUCGGCUUGACUCUACUCUUUCACGCCAACUGGGAAAACUUUUUCCGUCGUGUGGUACUAUCGAGGUCCAGGACAGCUACAGCUGCUAAAUGGCUCUGUGAAGAGUCUACCUGCGGAAGUCCAGCAGGGGGCGUGUGGAGGUGGGGAUGCCCUGAGCCGGCCAGCUGAGGAAGUGGAACUGAGUGAGCGUCCUGGUCUCCUGCGUCUGCACGUUCUUCAGGUAGAAACUUCUCACCAGGAAGUCGUUACACCAGAUGUGCUCCGACACCAAGUUCACCUGGGAGACGGACGGAGGGACGGACGGAUGGGCAAAAAGAGAUCUGCCGUAAAGGGGCACUUUAUUUUACCAUGAUAACCAAAGAGCCGUCAUCAUCACGAUCACAGUGCAGCCGUUCUCCCAGACCAUCUACGCAACAUCAUCAUCAAACAGAAAAUGAGUCCAGCGACUUACCUGUGAAAUACACAGGUAUGAGAUGGUCGCUCCACGGUACGAGACAGUAACCGUUUC
This is a long non-coding RNA of Xiphias gladius (swordfish), 1347 nucleotides long. RefSeq lists it as uncharacterized. NCBI's taxonomy places the organism in Eukaryota, Metazoa, Chordata, Actinopteri, Istiophoriformes, Xiphiidae. The record is from RefSeq and is a predicted model, not a curated record. The transcript is spliced from 5 exons.